GAAAAUAAUAAAGAAGAAAUCAGAACAAUAUAACAACACAUUUCAAUUAAACGUGUUUUGAACUUUUUCUUUUCU
This 75-nucleotide non-coding RNA is filed under the name Heterosigma akashiwo. The record is from RNAcentral. Lineage: Eukaryota; Raphidophyceae; Chattonellales; Chattonellaceae.